CAAAUGUAACCAGGAGUUCUUUUAUUUUUAUUUGCUAAAUCUGGAAACUCACAAAGGAGGUGGGAUGAUGGCAUUGCCAGCAUCCUCAGGCUACCAACGACACCAGGAACCUUCCCGGCAGCAUCUUAUGCUCCCCCUGACGUGGGCCAGGCCACGACGCCAAAGUGCAGGCCGGCAAAAGCCAGUAUCCUGGGCCAGGAGGACCUCAGGAACCCAGGAUCUGAUCACUACGGCCCUUGGUUUAUGCCGUAUGCUCACGACUGGGCCAGUGUGUUUCUUCUUAUGUGCGUAUGUGUAUAAUAAACCCUGUGAGCCGACCACCAACACGAGAACCACAGCAUCGUCCAUCACUUGCUUCUACUGAGGGCCUGUGCUCUCCCUCACCCAGGCUUGCUGUGACGCCAGCAAGAUGGGUGAGCAGAGGGUCUGCACAGUGAGUGGCGAGCUGGGGUCUGAACCCCAGCCUGUGCAGCUCUGCGGCUGCGCUCCCUUAGCUCUGGGCAGCUGGUGCCCCGAUCAGCUCCAGUGGGCAGGCUGGGUCUGCCUCGCCCAACACAGAAUCACCAGGGGCUGGUGCAUGGAAGGUGCCUAUUUGUUGAGUGAAAUCGUUUCCUGAUGUCUACACAUAUCAGAAU
RNAcentral lists this long non-coding RNA (635 nucleotides) under Cercocebus atys (sooty mangabey). RNAcentral describes it as "lncRNA (ENSCATG00000045749.1)". The record is from RNAcentral. Lineage: Eukaryota; Metazoa; Chordata; Mammalia; Primates; Cercopithecidae.